Molecule: long non-coding RNA, 250 nt
Filed under: Medicago truncatula (barrel medic)
Lineage: Eukaryota; Viridiplantae; Streptophyta; Magnoliopsida; Fabales; Fabaceae
Description: long non-coding RNA (MTRU_LNC000557)
Source: RNAcentral
AAUAUAUACGACCUUUUCUUCACAAAUACAUAUUUUUUUAUGAUCUAAAGCUGAUAAAAUAUAUUCUAGAGGGCUAGGAGCUGCCGUAAACAUCAAGGAGGCAAAGAUUCAUCGUCCAGUGAACCUAUGUAUUACUUUCAUAAACUUAUGUGGUGUUAUUACAUAGAUUACAUAAUAAAACAAGCACUAAUUAAAGAUACAUUUCUAAGGUGAUAUAUAAGCAAAAACAAAAUAUAAAAUAAAAGGAAAC